AGUGAACGCUGGCGGCGUGCCUAACACAUGCAAGUCGAGCGCGAAAGGGUAGCAAUACCUGAGUAAAGCGGCGAACGGGUGAGUAACACGUGGUUAACCUACCGAGAUGUGGGGAUACCCGGACGAAAUUCGGGACGAAUACCGCAUACAGUCUUCUGGACGUCGGUUCGGAAGAGCAAAGCCGGGGAGUCGUAAGACCUGGCGCAUUUCGAGGGGACCGCGGCCGAUUAGCUAGUUGGCGGGGUAANGGCCCACCAAGGCUUCGAUCGGUAGCCGGCCUGAGAGGGUGAACGGCCACACCGGAACUGAGACACGGUCCGGACUCCUACGGGAGGCAGCAGUGGGGAAUUUUGCGCAAUGGGCGAAAGCCUGACGCAGCAACGCCGCGUGGAGGAUGAAGGUUCUCUGAAU
Molecule: ribosomal RNA, 411 nt
Filed under: uncultured bacterium
Lineage: Bacteria
Description: bacterial SSU rRNA
Rfam family: Bacterial small subunit ribosomal RNA
Source: RNAcentral